GACGAACGCUGGCGGCGUGCUUAACACAUGCAAGUCGAACGGAAAGGCCCUGCUUGCAGGGUGCUCGAGUGGCGAACGGGUGAGUAACACGUGGGUGAUCUGCCCCUUACUUUGGGAUAAGCCUGGGAAACUGGGUCUAAUACUGGAUAGGACCAUGCUGUAGGUGGUGUGGUGGAAAGAUUAGUUUCGGUAAGGGAUGACCUCGCGGCCUAUCAGCUUGUUGGUGGGGUAAUGGCCUACCAAGGCGUCGACGGGUAGCCGGCCUGAGAGGGUGGACGGCCACAUUGGGACUGAGAUACGGCCCAGACUCCUACGGGAGGCAGCAGUGGGGAAUAUUGCACAAUGGGCGCAAGCCUGAUGCAGCGACGCCGCGUGGGGGAUGACGGCCUUCGGGUUGUAAACUCCUUUCAGCCAUGACGAAGCCCUUGUGGUGACGGUAGUGGUAGAAGAAGCACCGGCUAACUACGUG
This 469-nucleotide ribosomal RNA is filed under the name uncultured bacterium. RNAcentral's name for it is "partial 16S ribosomal RNA". It matches the Rfam family "Bacterial small subunit ribosomal RNA", at positions 28 to 507 of the family's 1533-position model. The record is from RNAcentral.